CAAUAGCGUAUAUUUAAGUUGCUGCAGUUAAAAAGCUCGUAGUUGGAUUUCGGUUGAGAACGGCCGGUCCGCCGUUUGGUGUGCACUGGCUGGUUUCAACUUCCUGUAGAGGACGUGCUCUGGCUUCACGGCUGGACGCGGAGUCUACGUGGUUACUUUGAAAAAAUUAGAGUGUUCAAAGCGGGCUUACGCUUGAAUAUUUCAGCAUGGAAUAACACUAUAGGACUCCUGUCCUAUUUCGUUGGUCUCGGGACGGGAGUAAUGAUUAAGAGGAACAGUUGGGGGCAUUCGUAUUUCAUUGUCAGAGGUGAAAUUCUUGGAUUUAUGAAAGACGAACUUCUGCGAAAGCAUUUGCCAAGGAUGUUUUCAUUAA
Molecule: ribosomal RNA, 373 nt
Filed under: uncultured eukaryote
Lineage: Eukaryota
Description: partial 18S ribosomal RNA
Rfam family: Eukaryotic small subunit ribosomal RNA
Source: RNAcentral